CUCAUGGAGAGUUCUAUCCUGGCUCAAGAUGAACGUUGGCGGCAUGCUUAACACAUGCAAGUCAGAUGGGAAGUGGUUUUUCCAGUGGCAGACGGGUGAGUAACGCUUAAGAACCUGCCCUUGGGAGGGGAACAACAGUUGGAAACGGCUGCUAACACCCCGUAGGCUGAGGGGCUCGUGUCUGAUUAGCUAGUUGGUGAGGCAAUAGCUUACCAAGGCGAUGAUCAGUGGCUGAUCAUCUCUCUCUUUAGCUCUAUGUCUCUUAUCUCUAGGAGGUCUUCCUCCACUAGCAGGUUUUUUCGGAAAAGAGAAAAUUUUAGAGUUCAAAUAAGAGGAUUUUGUUGAUUCAUUUGUCGAUCUAAUUGAGAAGAACCUAUGAUUAGCUUUUCAGGAAAUUUCCAAAUGAACAAUUUCAAUGAAAUCUUUCAAUUUCUUAUUUCCCGAAAUGCCUAUGCUUUAUUUUUCUGAAGGUGGGAGAAAAGAUAAAACUUAUUAUUAAUUUAAUCCAAAUUAGAGUUUAGUGACUGGAGUGAAGUCGUAACAAGGUAGCCGUACUGGAAGGUGCGACUGGAUCACCUCUUUU
This 583-nucleotide ribosomal RNA is filed under the name Gossypium arboreum. Its description in RNAcentral is "Bacterial small subunit ribosomal RNA". It matches the Rfam family "Bacterial small subunit ribosomal RNA". Lineage: Eukaryota; Viridiplantae; Streptophyta; Magnoliopsida; Malvales; Malvaceae. The record is from Rfam by way of RNAcentral.